CGGAGCUAGGACUGCACAUGCGCGGAAGGAGCCAAGAGGACGGUGUGCGGAGUUCCGCGCCGAGCCAGCUGGAGACAAGGCUGCGUUUUCCAUCAACCUUGCUGCCCGACCUGAGAUGACUGUUAGGGCUUUUCUGUAUUUUAAAAGCAACUGGAAGAUCCCGACCUCUGGUGCUCAACUCAAGAAACCUGAGUUGACUGACCAAUUGAUUGCAGAGCCGCAGAAGGAAAAUGGUGACAAGAGGGGAAGUGGUUGACACGGCAGAAUUGCAGUCAAGGCAGAGGGUGCCUAUGAGACCAGCACCUGAUACAAAUCUUGGACACUGAGUCUCUAUGAGCUUCCCUGGCAAACAUGUCAUCACACUGACUGCUGGAGGAAUUAGUGGAUCCUGUGUCUACACUGGAAGAGGACUCUUGGAA
This 419-nucleotide long non-coding RNA is filed under the name Equus asinus (donkey). Its description in RNAcentral is "lncRNA (ENSEASG00005023569.1)". The record is from RNAcentral. Lineage: Eukaryota; Metazoa; Chordata; Mammalia; Perissodactyla; Equidae.